This 800-nucleotide ribosomal RNA is filed under the name uncultured bacterium. Its description in RNAcentral is "bacterial SSU rRNA". It matches the Rfam family "Bacterial small subunit ribosomal RNA", at positions 8 to 806 of the family's 1533-position model. The record is from RNAcentral.
AGAGUUUGAUCCUGGCUCAGAUUGAACGCUGGCGGCAUGCCUUACACAUGCAAGUCGAACGGUAACAGGUCUUCGGAUGCUGACGAGUGGCGAACGGGUGAGUAAUACAUCGGAACGUGCCCAGUAAUGGGGGAUAGCUCGGCGAAAGCCGGAUUAAUACCGCAUACGCCCUGAGGGGGAAAGUGGGGGACCGCAAGGCCUCACGUUAUUGGAGCGGCCGAUGGCUGAUUAGCUAGUUGGUAGGGUAAAGGCCUACCAAGGCGACGAUCAGUAGCUGGUCUGAGAGGACGAUCAGCCACACUGGGACUGAGACACGGCCCAGACUCCUACGGGAGGCAGCAGUGGGGAAUUUUGGACAAUGGGGGAAACCCUGAUCCAGCAAUGCCGCGUGUGCGAAGAAGGCCUUCGGGUUGUAAAGCACUUUUGUCAGGGAAGAAAUCCUUUGGGCUAAUACCCUAGGGGGAUGACGGUACCCGAAGAAUAAGCACCGGCUAACUACGUGCCAGCAGCCGCGGUAAUACGUAGGGUGCAAGCGUUAAUCGGAAUUACUGGGCGUAAAGCGUGCGCAGGCGGUUGUGUAAGACAGGUGUGAAAUCCCCGGGCUUAACCUGGGAAUUGCAUUUGUGACUGCACGACUAGAGUGUGUCAGAGGGGGGUGGAAUUCCACGUGUAGCAGUGAAAUGCGUAGAUAUGUGGAGGAACACCAAUGGCGAAGGCAGCCCCCUUGAGAUAACACUGACGCUCAUGCAUGAAAGCGUGGGGAGCAACAGGAUUACAUACCCUGCAGUCCACGCCCUAAA